Long non-coding RNA from Cloeon dipterum, 1091 nucleotides. RefSeq lists it as uncharacterized. The record is from RefSeq and is a predicted model, not a curated record. The transcript is spliced from 3 exons. NCBI's taxonomy places the organism in Eukaryota, Metazoa, Arthropoda, Insecta, Ephemeroptera, Baetidae.
CUGGCAAGACUUUGUGGAGAUUUGUAAAAAUUUGCCCAAUCUCAUUCAUAUUAAAUUUGCCCGCUUUGAUGAAUCUGCCGAUUGUAUCCGCCUUCUCGAGAUGAAAAGAAACCUCAAAGACAUUUCCCACCUCAAAAGCAUAACUUGUGGAGAAUUAUGCUGCCGAAUUAUGGAAUUUUUUGAAAAGAAUCUGCCCGAUUUUCAAUGGUGCUGCGCAGGACCACUCACUAAUCAUGCCAAAGCGUUUGAUCUCGACGGAAACAACAAAAAAACAGCGACAGCGCGUUCAUUCAUGUACAGACCUUUGUACCAUCGCUUCGCCAAUAAGAUUCCUGCCAAGUUCCCAAAUAUAGUGUCAUAUCAGAUGGACUGUCAUGAAGCGAAAUACAAAGAUUCUCUCCUUCAACAUCUGCCGGAUUUUCGGGUACUUCAGAAUUUGCGCUUUGCGAGGCUGAAUGAUCCGCAAAUUUUGUACCACGCUUUGGUGAAGUACGGUGGAAACUUGCGAAAGGUCACCGUUAUCGGGCACGGAGAGCCAAGUUUAGAUAUUGAACGCAUUUUUGAGCUCAGCCCCAAUUUGGAACACCUGGAACUGGUAGGGGUUCGCCUGAUCAACCAUUCAGGUCAGAUUAACCACUCGAGGCUCAUGAAACUCGCGCUGGUGAACACAAGAUGCGACGAAAAAUCCAGCAUUCUACUUGCUCCGCAACUUCAGGUGGUAACGCUCUGUGGACAUUACUCUGAACUGCUGUAUUUGUGUUUUGAACCGUUAAUGCAUAACGUUAGCGCGAUAUUCAUGGCUACUAGACAAUAUCGUUACACUAAGAUGAUCAAAAUUUCGAAGUUGACGAUGGUCGUGACAGACUUUGAAAAUAUUUCUGAUGGAGAGUUCAUAGGUCUAUCUCAAUAUAUUCUUCUCUUUUCUUCCAUUUGUGUACCGUUUCUGACAGAUUUCCACUUGUUUUUCGGUGAAAUCGGCGAGAUUGAUGACGUGCACUAUUUGCAAGUAGACCCAUUUCACAGGAUUGAUUUGGCAGUCGAUGCCAACUUAAUCGAGAUUUUGAAAGCGUACCAUUGAUAUACUGCCCGGA